RNAcentral lists this unclassified non-coding RNA (204 nucleotides) under uncultured Cortinarius. RNAcentral describes it as "sequence contains ITS2". The record is from RNAcentral. Lineage: Eukaryota; Fungi; Basidiomycota; Agaricomycetes; Agaricales; Cortinariaceae.
AUAUAUCAACCUCUUCAGGUUUUUACUUGUCGAGUGUUUGGAUGUGGGGGUUUCUUUUGCCGGUCUCUUUUGAGGUCAGCUCCCCUGAAAUGCAUUAGCAGAACAAUUUGUUGACUCGUUCAUUGGUGUGAUAACUAUCUACGCUAUUGACGGUGAAGCAGGUUCAGCUUCUAAUAGUCCAUUGACUUGGACAAAUUUUCAUUA